This 301-nucleotide ribosomal RNA is filed under the name uncultured bacterium. Its description in RNAcentral is "partial 16S ribosomal RNA". It matches the Rfam family "Bacterial small subunit ribosomal RNA", at positions 509 to 807 of the family's 1533-position model. The record is from RNAcentral.
CAGCCGCCACGGGAAUACGAAGGGGGCUAGCGUUGUUCGGAAUUACUGGGCGUAAAGCGCACGUAGGCGGAUAUUUAAGUCAGGGGUGAAAUCCCGCAGCUCAACUGCGGAACUGCCUUUGAUACUGGGUAUCUUGAGUAUGGAAGAGGUUAGUGGAAUUGCGAGUGUAGAGGUGAAAUUCGUAGAUAUUCGCAGGAACACCAGUGGCGAAGGCGGCUAACUGGUCCAUAACUGACGCUGAGGUGCGAAAGCGUGGGGAGCAAACAGGAUUAGAUACCCCCGUAGUCCCUGUCUCUUAUAC